UCACAAGGAUGUAGCUGUUCAUAAAAGUUUGCGUUUGUGCAGCACUUUGGUGCAUAUUGUUGGGCAAAGUGGAGAUGUGUAUAAUGAGGCAUGGAAAACAUAAAUUCAGUUGGCUAGGAUCAUGGGGUAAGUAAUUACCCCUGUGGGAAGAUAGCAGGUGGAUUAGUUACUGGGCUGCAUCUGCAAUAAGCAAUUAAAGGAAAACAUCUGUUUCACAUCGUCCAUUUCUUCUUUUCCAGGAUACUCCUCCACUGUGUCUCUCUGAUACUGCAACCUGGAGACAAGUCACUUCUCUAAUGAGGCUGUGCAAACAUCAUGUGUUCCUACGUGGAAAGAGGUGGAGAAGGCCAGGAGCAACAGGACACACAGGUAAUCCAGUG
RNAcentral lists this long non-coding RNA (380 nucleotides) under Anser brachyrhynchus (Pink-footed goose). Its description in RNAcentral is "lncRNA (ENSABRG00000013907.1)". Lineage: Eukaryota; Metazoa; Chordata; Aves; Anseriformes; Anatidae. The record is from RNAcentral.